RNAcentral lists this long non-coding RNA (377 nucleotides) under Oncorhynchus kisutch (coho salmon). Its description in RNAcentral is "lncRNA (ENSOKIG00005040241.1)". The record is from RNAcentral. Lineage: Eukaryota; Metazoa; Chordata; Actinopteri; Salmoniformes; Salmonidae.
GUCUAUCCAGUCCUUGUGUCUAUCCAGGAGCAGUCCCUGUGUCUAUCCAGUCCCUGUGCCCAUCCAGUCCCUGUGUCUAUCCAGUCCCUGUGUCUAUCCAGUCCCUGUGUCUAUCCAGUCCCUGUGCCCAUCCAGUCCCUGUGUCCAUCCAGUCCCUGUGUCCAUCCAGUCCCUGUGUCUAUCCAGGAGCAGUCCCUGUGCCCAUCCAGUCCCUGUGCCCAUCCAGUCCCUGUGCCCAUCCAGUCCCUGUGCCCAUCCAGUCCCUGUGCCCAUCCAGUCCCUGUGUCUAUCCAGUCCCUGUGUCUAUCCAGUCCCUGUGCCCAUCCAGUCCCUGUUUGAAUCAACGGCCCUGUAGAGGACACUGUGAUGUCAUAUGA